RNAcentral lists this ribosomal RNA (561 nucleotides) under uncultured Alphaproteobacteria bacterium. RNAcentral's name for it is "bacterial SSU rRNA". It matches the Rfam family "Bacterial small subunit ribosomal RNA", at positions 338 to 916 of the family's 1533-position model. RNAcentral also lists the same sequence under 1 other name. The record is from RNAcentral. Lineage: Bacteria; Pseudomonadati; Pseudomonadota; Alphaproteobacteria.
CCUACGGGAGGCAGCAGUGGGGAAUCUUAGACAAUGGGCGCAAGCCUGAUCUAGCCAUGCCGCGUGAGUGACGAAGGCCUUAGGGUCGUAAAGCUCUUUCGCCAGGGAUGAUAAUGACAGUACCUGGUAAAGAAACCCCGGCUAACUCCGUGCCAGCAGCCGCGGUAAUACGGAGGGGGUUAGCGUUGUUCGGAAUUACUGGGCGUAAAGCGCGCGUAGGCGGAUUGGAAAGUUGGGGGUGAAAUCCCAGGGCUCAACCCUGGAACUGCCUCCAAAACUAUCAGUCUAGAGUUCGAGAGAGGUGAGUGGAAUUCCGAGUGUAGAGGUGAAAUUCGUAGAUAUUCGGAGGAACACCAGUGGCGAAGGCGGCUCACUGGCUCGAUACUGACGCUGAGGUGCGAAAGUGUGGGGAGCAAACAGGAUUAGAUACCCUGGUAGUCCACACCGUAAACGAUGAAUGCCAGACGUCAGGGGGUUUUACCCUUUGGUGUCACACCUAACGGAUUAAGCAUUCCGCCUGGGGAGUACGGUCGCAAGAUUAAAACUCAAAGGAAUUGACGG